This 253-nucleotide ribosomal RNA is filed under the name uncultured bacterium. Its description in RNAcentral is "partial 16S ribosomal RNA". It matches the Rfam family "Bacterial small subunit ribosomal RNA", at positions 524 to 776 of the family's 1533-position model. The record is from RNAcentral.
UACGUAGGGGGCUAGCGUUGUCCGGAAUCAUUGGGCGUAAAGGGCUCGUAGGUGGCCAACUAAGUCAGACGUGAAAUCCCUCAGCUUAACUGGGGAACUGCGUCUGAUACUGGAUGGCUUGAGUUUGGGAGAGGGAUGCGGAAUUCCAGGUGUAGCGGUGAAAUGCGUAGAUAUCUGGAGGAACACCGGUGGCGAAGGCGGCAUCCUGGACCAACACUGACACUGAGGAGCGAAAGCCAGGGGAGCAAACGGG